GCCACUUUAGCUCAGGUGGUUAGAGCGACUGAUUCGUAAUCAGUAGGUCGGCGGUUCGAAUCCGCCAAGUGGCU
Molecule: transfer RNA, 74 nt
Filed under: Thermonema lapsum
Lineage: Bacteria; Pseudomonadati; Bacteroidota; Cytophagia; Cytophagales; Thermonemataceae
Also listed under: 1 other name
Rfam family: tRNA
About the family: Transfer RNA (tRNA) molecules are approximately 80 nucleotides in length. Their secondary structure includes four short double-helical elements and three loops (D, anti-codon, and T loops). Further hydrogen bonds mediate the characteristic L-shaped molecular structure. tRNAs have two regions of fundamental functional importance: the anti-codon, which is responsible for specific mRNA codon recognition, and the 3' end, to which the tRNAs corresponding amino acid is attached (by aminoacyl-tRNA synthetases). tRNAs cope with the degeneracy of the genetic code in two manners: having more than one tRNA (with a specific anti-codon) for a particular amino acid; and 'wobble' base-pairing, i.e. permitting non-standard base-pairing at the 3rd anti-codon position.
Source: Rfam by way of RNAcentral